CUCUUCGAUGGGCGGGUAGCCGCAGUGGGCUAAGGCUUCAUUGCGCGCGUGCUCAUACACGUCGAAGAGA
RNAcentral lists this transfer RNA (70 nucleotides) under Anaerolineales bacterium. RNAcentral's name for it is "tRNA-Leu". Lineage: Bacteria; Bacillati; Chloroflexota; Anaerolineae; Anaerolineales. The record is from RNAcentral.